AGUGAACGCUGGCGGCAGGCCUAACACAUGCAAGUCGAGCGGCAGCGCGUCCGACCACCCUCGGGUGGUCGGAUGGCGGCGAGCGGCGGACGGGUGAGGAAUGCAUCGGGAUCUGCCUCGUUGUGGGGGAUAACGUAGGGAAACUUACGCUAAUACCGCAUACGACCUACGGGUGAAAGUGGGGGACCUUCGGGCCUCACGCGAUGAGAUGAGCCGAUGCCGGAUUAGCUAGUUGGCGGGGUAAAGGCCCACCAAGGCGACGAUCCGUAGCUGGUCUGAGAGGAUGAUCAGCCACACUGGAACUGAGACACGGUCCAGACUCCUACGGGAGGCAGCAGUGGGGAAUAUUGGACAAUGGGGGCAACCCUGAUCCAGCCAUGCCGCGUGUGUGAAGAAGGCC
RNAcentral lists this ribosomal RNA (400 nucleotides) under uncultured bacterium. RNAcentral describes it as "bacterial SSU rRNA". It matches the Rfam family "Bacterial small subunit ribosomal RNA", at positions 30 to 416 of the family's 1533-position model. The record is from RNAcentral.